This 374-nucleotide ribosomal RNA is filed under the name uncultured organism. Its description in RNAcentral is "partial 16S ribosomal RNA". It matches the Rfam family "Bacterial small subunit ribosomal RNA", at positions 527 to 896 of the family's 1533-position model. The record is from RNAcentral.
GUAGGUGGCAAGCGUUGUCCGGAAUUAUUGGGCGUAAAGCGCGCGCAGGUGGUUCUUUAAGUCUGAUGUGAAAGCCCCCGGCUCAACCGGGGAGGGUCAUUGGAAACUGGGGAACUUGAGUGCAGGAGAGGAGAGUGGAAUUCCACGUGUAGCGGUGAAAUGCGUAGAUAUGUGGAGGAACACCAGUGGCGAAGGCGACUCUCUGGCCUGUAACUGACACUGAGGCGCGAAAGCGUGGGGAGCAAACAGGGAUUAGAUACCCUGGUAGUCCACGCCGUAAACGAUGAGUGCUAAGUGUUGGGGGGGUUUCCGCCCCCUCAGUGCUGCAGCUAACGCAUUAAGCACUCCGCCCUGGGAGUACGGUCGCAAGACUG